RNAcentral lists this ribosomal RNA (253 nucleotides) under uncultured bacterium. RNAcentral's name for it is "partial 16S ribosomal RNA". It matches the Rfam family "Bacterial small subunit ribosomal RNA", at positions 524 to 776 of the family's 1533-position model. The record is from RNAcentral.
UGCGUAGGGUGCGAGCGUUAAUCGGAAUUACUGGGCGUAAAGCGUGCGCAGGCGGCUAUUUAAGCUUGCUGUGAAAGCCCCGGGCUUAACCUGGGAACUGCAGUGAGGACUGGAUGGCUGGAGUGUGGCAGAGGGGGGUGGAAUUCCACGUGUAGCAGUGAAAUGCGUAGAGAUGUGGAGGAACACCGAUGGCGAAGGCAGCCCCCUGGGCUAACACUGACGCUCAGGCACGAAAGCGUGGGGAGCAAACAGG